GUUAAGAUUAUGCAAGGAUAAAGACUCUUACAAUCCAAUGACGAGCAGAGAAUGGAUCACAAUCGCGCAUUGCUUGCAAUUCAGACCUAAGCAAUGUUUCUUCAGCAUAGAAUGCAUUAUUAUGAACAUUUUCCUUCCCAGGCUUACAAUCAACUGCCAUAUUCAUUCGUGCUACGAAGAAAUGUUGAUGAACUGGUGCAUACAAUCCUGGUGCAAUUGUUGUACCAUAUUUGCGAUAUUCUCCAGGUUGCAAUGCUCCUAAACUGAGAAUUCCCGUGAGUUUAACUUCUGCUUCAAUUUUCCCAUCCUGAAAUUCCAUAUUAUUGUACAAACAGUUGUAAGAUGUUCAAAGUGAAGGGUAUUGAUAUUUCAAUCGUCGUGAUGA
This is a long non-coding RNA of Solanum pennellii, 385 nucleotides long. RefSeq lists it as uncharacterized. NCBI's taxonomy places the organism in Eukaryota, Viridiplantae, Streptophyta, Magnoliopsida, Solanales, Solanaceae. The transcript is spliced from 2 exons. The record is from RefSeq and is a predicted model, not a curated record.